Molecule: ribosomal RNA, 253 nt
Filed under: uncultured bacterium
Lineage: Bacteria
Description: partial 16S ribosomal RNA
Rfam family: Bacterial small subunit ribosomal RNA
Source: RNAcentral
UACGUAGGGGGCAAGCGUUGUCCGGAUUUAUUGGGCGUAAAGAGCGUGUAGGCGGCCAGGUAGGUCAGCUGUGAAAACUCGAGGCUUAACCUCGAGACGCCGGCUGAAACCCUCUGGCUAGAGUCCGGAAGAGGAGAGCGGAAUUCCUGGUGUAGCGGUGAAAUGCGCAGAUAUCAGGAAGAAUACCCGUGGCGAAGGCGGCUCUCUGGGACGGUACUGACGCUGAGACGCGAAAGCGUGGGGAGCGAACAGG